AUGUGUACUCGUAGAAAUGAGGGUGGCAUGGGUUUCUGGGAUUUUGAAGUCUUCAAUCAGGCUCUUCUUGCGAAGCAGGUGUGGCGAAUACUAACUGUACCAACCUCAUUAUGUGCGAGAGUUCUCAAAGCUCGGUAUUUUCCGGACAUGGAUAUUAUGUCAGCCACUUGCCCGAAUGGAGGGUCAUAUACAUGGCGCAGCCUGUUGCAUGGCAGGGACUUUCUUAUGCAUGGACUGAUUUGGCGAGUUGGAGACGGAGCUAGUAUUAAAGUAUAUCAUGAUAACUAG
This 288-nucleotide ribosomal RNA is filed under the name Triticum aestivum (bread wheat). RNAcentral describes it as "partial small subunit ribosomal RNA". Lineage: Eukaryota; Viridiplantae; Streptophyta; Magnoliopsida; Poales; Poaceae. The record is from RNAcentral.